This 336-nucleotide ribosomal RNA is filed under the name uncultured bacterium. Its description in RNAcentral is "bacterial SSU rRNA". It matches the Rfam family "Bacterial small subunit ribosomal RNA", at positions 568 to 899 of the family's 1533-position model. The record is from RNAcentral.
CGUGUAGGCGGGGACAUAAGUCAGAUGUGAAAUACCGAGGCUUAACUUCGGGGCUGCAUCUGAAACUAUGUUUCUUGAGUGUCGGAGAGGAAAGUGGAAUUCCCAGUGUAGCGGUGAAAUGCGUAGAUAUUGGGAGGAACACCAGUGGCGAAGGCGACUUUCUGGACGAUAACUGACGCUGAGGCGCGAAAGCGUGGGGAGCAAACAGGAUUAGAUACCCUGGUGGUCCACGCUGUAAACGAUGGAUACUAGGUGUAGGAGGUAUCGACCCCUUCUGUGCCGGAGUUAACACAAUAAGUACUCCCACCGUGGGGAGUACCGGCCGCAAGGUUAGAA